RNAcentral lists this ribosomal RNA (394 nucleotides) under uncultured bacterium. RNAcentral describes it as "partial 16S ribosomal RNA". It matches the Rfam family "Bacterial small subunit ribosomal RNA", at positions 523 to 918 of the family's 1533-position model. The record is from RNAcentral.
AUACGUAGGUGACAAGCGUUAUCCGGAUUUACUGGGCGUAAAGGGCGCGCAGGCGGUAUAUCAAGUCAGCUGUCAAAGACUGGGGCUCAACCCUGGUAUGCGGUUGAAACUGAUAUGCUGGAGUGCUGUAGAGGCAAGUGGAAUUCCCAGUGUAGCGGUGAAAUGCGUAGAUAUUGGGAAGAACACCGGUGGCGAAGGCGACUUGCUGGGCAGCAACUGACGCUGAGGCGCGAAAGCCAGGGGAGCAAACGGGAUUAGAUACCCCGGUAGUCCUGGCCGUAAACGAUGAAUGCUAGGUGUGUGUGUAGAGAUACAUGCGUGCCGGAGUUAACGCGAUAAGCAUUCCGCCUGGGGAGUACGGUCGCAAGAUUGAAACUCAAAUGAAUCGGCGGGG